AAUAUUGGAUAAUGGGGGAAACCCUGAUCCAGCCAUGCCGCGUGUGUGAAGAAGGUCUUCGGAUUGUAAAGCACUUUAUGUUGGGAGGAAGGGAUUUAGGUUAUUACCCUGAAGUUUUGACGUUACCAUCAGAAUAAGUACCGGCCAACUUCGCGCCAGCAGCCGCGGUAAUACGAAGGGUGCAAGCGUUAAUCGGAAUUACUUGGCGUAAAGCGGGCGUAGGUGGUAUGUCAAGUUGGAAGUGAAAUCCCCGGGCUUAACCUGGGAACUGCUUUCAUAACUGCUGAGCUAGAGUACGGUAGAGGGUGGUGGAAUUUCCUGUGUAGCGGUGAAAUGCGUAGAUAUAGGAAGGAACACCAGUGGCGAAGGCGACCACCUGGGCUAAUACUGACACUGAGGUGCGAAAGCGUGGGGAGCAAAC
This 421-nucleotide ribosomal RNA is filed under the name uncultured bacterium. Its description in RNAcentral is "partial 16S ribosomal RNA". It matches the Rfam family "Bacterial small subunit ribosomal RNA", at positions 360 to 773 of the family's 1533-position model. The record is from RNAcentral.